GAGUAGUGCAUUGGAAACUGGUAGACUGGAGUGCAGAAGAGAAGAGUAGAACUCCAUGUGUAGCGGUGAAAUGCGUAGAUAUAUGGAAGAACACCAGUGGCGAAAACGGCUCUCUGGUCUGUAACUGACGCUGAGGUUCGAAAGCGUGGGUAGCAAACAGG
This 161-nucleotide ribosomal RNA is filed under the name uncultured bacterium. RNAcentral's name for it is "partial 16S ribosomal RNA". It matches the Rfam family "Bacterial small subunit ribosomal RNA", at positions 616 to 776 of the family's 1533-position model. The record is from RNAcentral.